Erpetoichthys calabaricus (reedfish) is the source of this 2086-nucleotide long non-coding RNA. RefSeq lists it as uncharacterized. The record is from RefSeq and is a predicted model, not a curated record. The transcript has 2 exons. Lineage: Eukaryota; Metazoa; Chordata; Cladistia; Polypteriformes; Polypteridae.
CUCGCUAUAUCGCACUUCGCCUUUCGCGGCUUCACUCUAUCGCGGAUUUUAUAUGUAAGCAUAUUUAAAUAUAUAUCGCGGAUUUUUUGCUGGUUCGCGGAUUUCUGCGGACAAUGGGUCUUUUAAUUUCUGGUACAUGCUUCCUCAGUUGGUUUGCCCAGUUGAUUUCAUACAAGGGACGCUAUUGGCAGAUGGCUAAGAAGAAACCCAACUUACUUUUCUCUCUCUCUCUCUUGCGCUGACUUUCUCUGAUCCUGACGUAGGGGGAUUGAGCAGGGGGGCUGUUCGCACACCUAGACGAUACGGACGCUCGUCUAAAAAUGCUGAAAGAUUAUCUUCACGUUGCUACCUUCUGUGCAGCUGCUUCCUGAAGCGACAUGCUGCAUGGUGCUUCGUAUACUUAAAAGCUCGAAGGGCACGUAUUGAUUUUUGCUUGUUUGUUUUUCUCUGUCUCUCUCUCUCUCUCUUUGUCUGCUCCUGACGGAGGGGGUGUGAGCUGCUGCCUUCAACAGCUUUGUGCCACAGUGCUUCGCAUACUUAAAAGCCAAACAGCCCUAUUGAUUUCUUUGCUUUCCUCUGUCUUUAUGACAUUAUCUGCUCCUGACGCGUACUCCUUUGAAGAGGAAGAUAUGUUUGCAUUUUUUUAAUUGUGAGACGGAACUGUUAUCGCUGUCUUGUCAUGGAGCACAGUUUAAACUUUUGAAAAAGAGACAAAUGUUUGUUUGCAGUGUUUGAAUAACGUUCCUGUCUCUCUACAACCUCCUGUGUUUCUGCGCAAAUCUGUGACCCAAGCAUGACAAUAUAAAAAUAACCAUAUAAACAUAUGGUUUCUACUUCGCGGAUUUUCUUAUUUCGCGGGUGGCUCUGGAACGCAACCCCCGCGAUGGAGGAGGGAUUACUGUACUAGCUCUUAGACACAGGUGUGAAGCAGGUGUCUGGAGGAAGCUUUGUGGGGAAAACAACUCUGUUACAUAUUAGUUAGAUGGCCAAAAGCACAGUACUCCACAGCAAGGAAUGUUUCUCACUUGAACCCAGAAAAAAAGAUAAUAUCAUGGAGAACAUACAACUGCACAGUCAAUGAUUUGUCUCUGAUUCAAAGCCAGGACCCUAAAGCUGUGAGGCAGCAAAAGCUAACUUCCAUAUGUCACUUUUGCAGCACUGGUAUGCUUUAGCUUAAUCUGAAUUUGAUCUCUUUAUAGAUAAAUAUCAUAUUCAGAUUGAUUUCAGAAUGUAAGUUGUUAAGCCACCUGAAAAAGAAAAAAAGUGAAUUGAACAAAUGUACCAUUGUUCUGUGUUUAGUACUCAUUGGCAGUCAUUUAUGUGUAGGAUGUGAUUGUUGUUGCAUCUUUUUAAUCCACCUAAAGUUAGAUUAAUGCUCAAUUCUGAGUAUGAACAUAAAUGUUAAUUAAAAUGUAAAAUUUCCUUUUUCAUUUUUGUAAACUUUUAAUGGAGAGCUUAAAGUAAAAGCUUUGAUGCUGAAAACUGGGAUUGGACUUCUCAUUUCCCAAUCAUAAUGAGAAGACCGCUAGUUUCCAAACCUAGCUCUUUAUAACAUGUAAAUCCUCUGCUUCAUGCUUAAGGCUCUGUAGAGUUGAAAUGCAUGCUAUUAAAGUGUUGAUAUUCAUGCCUAAGUAGGUAGGUAGGUCUGGCACCAAAGUAUCUGUCCAGAUAAAGAUUCUGCCAAUAAAUGAAUAGAAUCUGAUAAUGGUACUCUUAGUAGGUCUUGCCACAGAUGCCUUCUAGUUUUUGGUCUUGUUGGUCAUCUGUCUGGGAAGAGAAGCUACAGUGUAAUAGAAAUGUAAUGAAGAGGGAGAACCUCUUAAUGUGUUUGAUGCAUCUGAGAAAUAAACUAUCAUUAAGGCUUGUAUUUUUCCUUUACUUUUUAUUGUAUAUUGCAUGCAUUUUAGUCUGGUGCCACCAAGGGAUAAAUAUGUUCAACUGUCUCAGGUGAGGCAACAAGUGAGCAAUGUCGUUUAAGAAAUCACAUCAGAUUGUUCACUAUGCAAUAUUAUUGCAUCUGCUAAUAAUCCAAAUUAGGAGUAAAAGUGGGACCAAUGCUGUCUUAGAAUAUUUUUUACAAAAGGAA